This 1584-nucleotide ribosomal RNA is filed under the name Agapornis personatus (yellow-collared lovebird). RNAcentral describes it as "16S ribosomal RNA". It matches the Rfam family "Bacterial large subunit ribosomal RNA". Lineage: Eukaryota; Metazoa; Chordata; Aves; Psittaciformes; Psittacidae. The record is from RNAcentral.
AGCCUACCCUAGCCCCACCAACCAAAAUCAACAAACCCACCACCCCACCCAAAUAAAACAUUUCCCCAAGCCUAGUAUAGGAGAUAAAAAAGCAUAACCAGGGCGCCAUAGUGAAAGUACCGCAAGGGAAAGAUGAAAUAGCAAUGACUAACUCCAAGCACCAUACAGCAAAGAUAAACCCUUGUACCUCUUGCAUUAUGAUCUAGCGAGCAUUCCCCAGACAAAGAGCACUUAAGCCUGUCACCCCGAAACCCAAGCGAGCUACUCACAAGCGGCUACUCUGAGCCACAACCCAUCCCUGUUGCAAAAGGGUGGGUAGACUUGUUAGUAGUGGUGAAAAGCCUACCGAGCUGGGAGAUAGCUGGUUGCCUGUGAGACGAAUUUAAGUUCUUCCCCAGCCCCUUCCACCAGGACACCCAACCCCCUAUGAAACAGGCUAGGAGCUAUUCAAAGGGGGUACAGCCCCUUUAAAAAAGGAUACAACCUCCGCCAGCGGAUAAACCCAACCCAUCCAACCCACCGUGGGCUUUAAAGCAGCCACCCCUAAAGAGUGCGUCAAAGCUCCAAGAAAAAAAUUCACAAACCAACGCGACUCCCUACCCCCCAACAGGCUAACCUAUCCCCAUAGAUGAACCAAUGCUAGAACGAGUAACCAGGACACCAAUCCCCUUAAGCGCCAGCUUACCAACACCAUUAACAGCACUCCCUCAACGCUUUCCCCCCCCCCCCCCCGACCAAGCAUUGAACACACCCUGUUAACCCAACACCGGGGCGCACAAAUAGGCCGAUUCAAGUCUGCAGAAGGAACUCGGCAAACACAGGGCCCGACUGUUUACCAAAAACAUAGCCUUCAGCCAGCCAAGUAUUGGAGGUGACGCCUGCCCAGUGACAUUACGUUCAACGGCCGCGGUAUCCUAACCGUGCAAAGGUAGCGCAAUCAAUUGUCUCAUAAAUCGAGACUUGUAUGAACGGCAUAACGAGGUCCUAACUGUCUCCUGCAGACAAUCAGUGAAACUGAUCUCCCUGUGCAAAAGCAGGAAUACGCCCACUAGACGAGAAGACCCUGUGGAACUUUAAAAUCAAUAGCCACCACCCACCUCAACCCUAAGCCUAACAGGCCCACCCCGCAACCCUGGCUAACAUUUUUCGGUUGGGGCGACCUUGGAGGAAAACAAAACCUCCAAAACCCAGGGUCAUCCAUCCCUAACCAAGAUCCACCUCUCAACGUGCUAACAGCCCACACAGACCCAAUAAAAUUGAACAAUGGACCAAGCUACCCCAGGGAUAACAGCGCAAUCUCCCCCAAGAGCCCCUAUCGACGGGGAGGUUUACGACCUCGAUGUUGGAUCAGGACACCCUAGUGGUGCAGCCGCUACCAAGGGUUCGUUUGUUCAACGAUUAACAGUCCUACGUGAUCUGAGUUCAGACCGGAGCAAUCCAGGUCGGUUUCUAUCUGUGAUCGGCUUUCCCCAGUACGAAAGGACCGGAAAAGCAGGGCCAAUGCCACAAGCACGCCCUCCCCAACAAGUGAUGCCCCCUACUAAAUCACCAAGAGGACCCCCACAACCCCACAGAACCAUGGCC